This is a long non-coding RNA of Hippocampus zosterae (dwarf seahorse), 448 nucleotides long. RefSeq lists it as uncharacterized. NCBI's taxonomy places the organism in Eukaryota, Metazoa, Chordata, Actinopteri, Syngnathiformes, Syngnathidae. The transcript has 3 exons. The record is from RefSeq and is a predicted model, not a curated record.
GCAAAAAAAAAAAAAAAAAAAAGCUCUGUCAUCCAAGCAGGGCUCAGAGUCAAGCCGCUGCUCCUCCGCAUUGAGAAGAGCCAGAGGAAGUGGCUCAGCCAUCUGUUUAGGAUGCCACCGGGACGCCUCCAUGAAAAGGUGUUUCGGGAGAAAGAAGUGAGAAUGAUAAUCCGUGCCAAUUAACACCCAAGAGACGGACACCAUUUUCAAAUAAAGACAGGCCAUCAUCAGAUGAUGAUGAAAUUCCAUCAAGUAUUCCUGCCAAGAGAUCUUCCUUCAAAGUACUUCUAGGAAAGAGGAAGAGAACUCCCUGGCAGGAAAGCGAAAUAAAGGCAGUGGAAAGGCACAUGAUGGGACUCAUCAAAUCUUUUUGCGUCCCAGGAAAAAUGGAUUGCGAAAGAUGUUUAAGGGCUGAACCAGAAGCCCUUAAAACACGAGACUGGCAAAC